This 811-nucleotide ribosomal RNA is filed under the name Capnocytophaga cynodegmi. RNAcentral's name for it is "bacterial SSU rRNA". It matches the Rfam family "Bacterial small subunit ribosomal RNA", at positions 8 to 820 of the family's 1533-position model. Lineage: Bacteria; Pseudomonadati; Bacteroidota; Flavobacteriia; Flavobacteriales; Flavobacteriaceae. The record is from RNAcentral.
AGAGUUUGAUCAUGGCUCAGGAUGAACGCUAGCGGCAGGCCUAACACAUGCAAGUCGAGGGGUAGAGUGCUUCGGCACUUGAGACCGGCGUACGGGUGCGUAACGCGUGUACAAUCUACCUUUUGCUAAGGGAUAGCCCGAAGAAAUUUGGAUUAAUACCUUAUAGUAUAAUUUGGUGGCAUCAUUGAAUAAUUAAAGCUACGGUGGCAAAAGAUGAGUACGCGUCCCAUUAGCUAGUUGGAGUGGUAACGGCACACCAAGGCUACGAUGGGUAGGGGUUCUGAGAGGGAUGUCCCCCACACUGGUACUGAGACACGGACCAGACUCCUACGGGAGGCAGCAGUGAGGAAUAUUGGACAAUGGUCGGAAGACUGAUCCAGCCAUGCCGCGUGCAGGAUGACGGCCUUAUGGGUUGUAAACUGCUUUUGUAUGGGAAGAAUAAGGUCUACGUGUAGAUUGAUGACGGUACCAUACGAAUAAGCAUCGGCUAACUCCGUGCCAGCAGCCGCGGUAAUACGGAGGAUGCGAGCGUUAUCCGGAAUCAUUGGGUUUAAAGGGUCCGUAGGCGGGCUUAUAAGUCAGAGGUGAAAGCACUGAGCUCAACUGAGUAACUGCCUUUGAAACUGUAGGUCUUGAAUAUUUGUGAAGUAGCUGGAAUGUGUAGUGUAGCGGUGAAAUGCAUAGAUAUUACACAGAACACCGAUUGCGAAGGCAUGUUACUAACAAAUUAUUGACGCUGAUGGACGAAAGCGUGGGGAGCGAACAGGAUUAGAUACCCUGGUAGUCCACGCUGUAAACGAUGGAUACUAGC